CUUCGGGUAUUUCCGUGUCCCACUCGGAGGUACUCGGCAAUCGCUCGGCCUCCCCCAUCCCCCGGUAACGGUCGCUGGUGAGUUUAAAUGAGCCGGGGCUGGCCGGGCCGGAGCCGCUACGGGGGGGGCCUGAGGCACUGCAGAAAGUGGGCCUGAGCCUCAAGGAUGACGGUGCUGCAGGAACCCGUCCAGGCUGCUAUAUGGCAAGCACUAAACCACUAUGCUUACCGAGAUGCAGUUUUUCUUGCAGAACGACUGUAUGCAGAAGUACACUCAGAGGAAGCCUUGUUUUUAUUGGCAACCUGUUAUUACCGCUCAGGAAAGGCAUAUAAAGCAUAUAGACUCUUGAAAGGACACAGUUGUACUACACCGCAGUGUAAAUACCUGCUUGCAAAAUGUUGUGUUGAUCUCAGCAAGCUUGCAGAAGGGGAACAGAUCUUAUCUGGUGGAGUGUUUAAUAAGCAGAAAAGCCAUGAUGAUAUUGUUACUGAGUUUGGUGAUUCAGCUUGCUUUACUCUUUCAUUGUUGGGACAUGUAUAUUGCAAGACAGAUCGGCUUGCCAAAGGAUCAGAAUGUUACCAAAAGAGCCUUAGUUUAAAUCCUUUCCUCUGGUCCCCCUUUGAAUCAUUAUGUGAAAUAGGUGAAAAGCCAGAUCCUGACCAAACAUUUAAAUUAACAUCUUUACAGAACUUUAGCAACUGUCUGCCCAGCUCUUGCACAACACUAGUAUCUAAUCAUAGUUUAUCUCAUAGACAACCCGAGACCGUUCUUACAGAAACACCCCAGGACACAAUUGAAUUAAACAGACUGAAUUUAGAAUCUUCCAAUUCAAAGUACUCCUUGAAUACAGAUUCCUCAGUGUCUUAUAUUGAUUCAGCUGUAAUUUCACCAGAUACUGUCCCUCUUGGAACAGGAACUUCCAUAUUAUCUAAACAGGUUCAAAAUAAACCAAAAACUGGUCGAAGCUUAUUAGGAGGACCAGCUGCUCUUAGUCCAUUAACCCCAAGUUUUGGGAUUUUGCCAUUAGAAACCCCAAGUCCUGGAGAUGGAUCCUAUUUACAAAACUACACUAAUACAUCUUCUGUAAUUGACGUGCCAUCUACUGGAGCCCCUUCAAAAAAGUCUGUUGCCAGAAUCGGCCAAACUGGAACAAAGUCUGUCUUCUCACAGAGCGGAAAUAGUCGAGAGGUAACUCCAAUUCUUGUUGCACAAACACAAAGUUCUGGCCCACAAACAAGUACAACACCUCAGGUAUUGAGCCCCACUAUCACAUCUCCCCCAAACGCACUGCCUCGAAGAAGUUCGCGACUCUUUACUAGUGACAGCUCUACAACCAAGGAGAAUAGCAAAAAGUUAAAAAUGAAGUUUCCACCUAAAAUCCCAAACAGAAAAACUAAAAGUAAAACUAACAAAGGAGGAAUAACUCAACCUAACUUAAAUGAUAGCCUGGAAAUUACAAAAUUGGACUCUUCCAUCAUUUCAGAAGGGAAAAUCUCCACAAUCACACCUCAGAUCCAGGCAUUUAAUCUGCAGAAAGCAGCAGCAGAAGGUUUGAUGAGCCUUCUUCGUGAAAUGGGGAAAGGUUAUUUAGCUCUGUGCUCGUACAACUGCAGAGAAGCUAUAUAUAUCUUGAGCCACCUACCUUCUCACCACUACAAUACUGGUUGGGUACUGUGCCAAAUUGGAAGGGCCUAUUUUGAACUUUCAGAGUACAUGCAGGCUGAAAGAAUAUUCUCCGAGGUUAGAAGGAUUGAGAAUUACAGAGUCGAAGGCAUGGAGAUCUACUCUACAACACUUUGGCAUCUUCAGAAAGAUGUUGCUCUUUCAGUUCUUUCAAAAGACUUAACAGACAUGGAUAAAAAUUCACCAGAGGCCUGGUGUGCUGCAGGGAACUGUUUCAGUUUGCAACGGGAACAUGAUAUUGCAAUUAAAUUCUUCCAGAGAGCUAUCCAGGUUGAUCCAAAUUAUGCUUAUGCCUAUACUCUACUAGGGCACGAGUUUGUGUUAACUGAAGAAUUAGACAAAGCAUUAGCUUGUUUUCGAAAUGCUAUCAGAGUCAAUCCGAGACAUUACAAUGCAUGGUAUGGCUUAGGAAUGAUUUAUUACAAGCAAGAAAAAUUCAGCCUUGCAGAAAUGCAUUUCCAGAAAGCACUUGAUAUCAACCCUCAAAGUUCAGUUUUACUUUGCCACAUUGGAGUAGUUCAGCAUGCACUGAAAAAAUCUGAGAAGGCUUUGGAUACCCUAAACAAAGCCAUUGUUAUUGAUCCCAAGAACCCUCUAUGCAAAUUUCACAGAGCCUCAGUUUUAUUUGCAAAUGAAAAAUAUAAGUCUGCUUUACAAGAACUUGAAGAAUUGAAACAAAUUGUUCCCAAAGAAUCCCUCGUUUACUUCUUAAUAGGAAAGUGCUGCUGUUUAUUUUUAGGUUUACAAGAAGUUAGGUCAAACGCACCUCGCCCUGAUGAAUUUCUCUUGGGCUAUGGAUUUAGAUCCUAAAGGAGCCAAUAACCAGAUUAAAGAGGCAAUUGACAAGCGCUACCUUCCAGAUGAUGAGGAGCCAAUAACCCAAGAAGAACAAAUCAUGGGAACAGAUGAAUCCCAGGAGAGCAGCAUGACAGACGCAGACGACACACAACUUCAUGCAGCUGAAAGCGAUGAGUUUUAACUUCCGGAAACCAGACUUUUGCAACUGGAUGUGUGAUUAGUGCUGACAUGUUUCUUGUCCCUCCAUAUACUGAGUCUUCACUCUUGAGCCGGCAGUGUCAUCAUCCAUCACUUAGACAAUGAGUGUGCCACUUUCAUUGGACCCUGACUGUACACAGAAUGAAAGGCAGUGCAAUAUUUAGCUGCUAACAAGACUGGCUCUUUCACCAGUACGAAUGACAAUUUAGGGGGGUAAGAUGGGGAACUUUCUUUUCUUUUCUUUUCUUUUUUUUUUUUCUUUAAUCUCCCUUUGUUGAAAGCUAUCAUGGAAGGAAGAGUUAACGUUUUAUCUUGAAGGAACCGUUAGGUAUGGAAAAUAGUGAUGAACCAGAAUUUUUUGGUCGUUUUCCAAAAAUUUGUUUUCAUUUGGUUCUGUUCCUGAUUAACAGAGUGACUGACCUUCAUUUCUAGGUUCUUCAAGAAUGGUGUUAGCAAGUGCCAGAUGGAACAAUAAAAGACAUUGCCUAUAACAGAGUAACUUGAUUGCCAAGGAAUGUAAAUUACCUUAAACUUGCAGUGUCUCCCAUAAACAAAUGUAAUGGGCAUAUUGGGACUCAUGUGUAGGAAUCAACUAUCCCUCCAUACAGCGUACACUUAUUCUUGGCAAGAAUGCUUUAAUGUCUAACCAAGAAUUUUAAUUUAUUCAUCUUGCUUCAAAGUGUUGAUCAUUGUCUUGGUAUUGCAAACUUUCAAGUUGUUCCCUUACCAUUUUGCCUCUUCUCUUUGAGCUCUGUGGGAUCACCUUAAACAUUCAGAGAUGAUAGAGUGUUUGCCCACUGAAAAGCCAAAACAAGGCCCUUAAUAACCAUUUAUGUUCACCAUAAGAAUCAAAAUGAGAACACUAAAGUGGAGAGACUUAAAAGAGAUCAUGAUAGCAAAGCCUUAAUACAAUCAAAAUUGUACCAUGACCUUGAAUCUAUAUUUGUUCAAGAAAGUAUCCCUUUGACUUUUCUAAGUGUUUAAGCAGGGUGCAAGGAUGUGUAGUUACCUUUGGUUGAGGUCAUUUCCAUUCUUUUCAGCUCUCUGCUUCAAAUUAUUUUCAGUAGUGUGAGUCACCAAAAUGUUUACCAAGAGUGAUUGGGUUUAGGAUAUUAGAAAUUUUUAGCUGGGGGAAAAAAAAACAACCAUUCUUAUGAAGGAGAUGAGUUCUCUCCUGAGUGUGUCGUAAUAUAGGUUGGUGUCUUUGGGGAAUGGCCACAAUUUUAAAGAUCUAAUUAUGCAUAAUAAAAUGGGAAUUAUUGGAAUUUCACAGUAACAGAUUUAAAGUCUUAAAUUGUGUAUCUCCUUUAUUGUAAUGUAUUGAAAUUUUUAGAGAAACUUUAGUUGUUAACAUUUUUUUAAGUGCCAAUGUCAGAAUAUAACAAAUUAUAGUUUCUUACGAAUGA
This is an RNA transcript of Felis catus (domestic cat), 4085 nucleotides long. It is a transcript of the gene named cell division cycle 27, with no coding region annotated. The transcript is spliced from 19 exons. The record is from RefSeq and is a predicted model, not a curated record. Lineage: Eukaryota; Metazoa; Chordata; Mammalia; Carnivora; Felidae.